This 460-nucleotide ribosomal RNA is filed under the name uncultured bacterium. Its description in RNAcentral is "partial 16S ribosomal RNA". It matches the Rfam family "Bacterial small subunit ribosomal RNA", at positions 338 to 795 of the family's 1533-position model. The record is from RNAcentral.
CCUACGGGAGGCUGCAGUGAGGAAUAUUGGUCAAUGGACGAGAGUCUGAACCAGCCAAGUAGCGUGAAGGAUGACUGCCCUAUGGGUUGUAAACUUCUUUUAUAUGGGAAUAAAAUGUUCCACGUGUGGGAUUUUGUAUGUACCAUAUGAAUAAGGAUCGGCUAACUCCGUGCCAGCAGCCGCGGUAAUACGGAGGAUCCGAGCGUUGUCUGGAUUUAUUGGGUUUAAAGGGAGCGUAGGUGGAUUGUUAAGUCAGUUGUGAAAGUUUGCGGCUCAACCGUAGAAUUGCAGUUGAAACUGGCAGUCUUGAGUACAGUAGAGGUGGGCGGAAUUCGUGGUGUAGCGGUGAAAUGCUUAGAUAUCACGAAGAACUCCGAUUGCGAAGGCAGUUCACUGGACUGCAACUGACACUGAGGCUCGAAAGUGUGGGUAUCAAACAGGAUUAGAUACCCGUGUAGUC